UACGUACGAGGCAAGCGUUAUCCGGAAUCAUUGGGCGUAAAGAGCUCGUAGGCGGUUUGUCGCGUCUGCCGGUGAAAGUCCGGGGCUCAACUCCGGAUCUGCGGUGGGUACGGGCAGACUAGAGUGAUGUAGGGGAGACUGGAAUUCCUGGUGUAGCGGUGAAAUGCGCAGAUAUCAGGAGGAACACCGAUGGCGAAGGCAGGUCUCUGGGCAUUAACUGACGCUGAGGAGCGAAAGCAUGGGGAGCGAACAGG
This 254-nucleotide ribosomal RNA is filed under the name uncultured bacterium. RNAcentral's name for it is "partial 16S ribosomal RNA". It matches the Rfam family "Bacterial small subunit ribosomal RNA", at positions 524 to 776 of the family's 1533-position model. The record is from RNAcentral.